UCCCCCGUGAGGGGGCAGUCUCGCCUGACAUUUAAAACAGGCAACGAGGGUUGCGUUCGUUACCCCACUGAAGGGAACAACUCAAGCCACGAACUGACGACGACCAUGCAUCACCUGCCCACCCGCCUUUCGGAGUCCUAGUUUCCUAGGAAUGUCGUGUGGGUUUCAAACCCUGGUGAGGUUCUUCGUUUGUCAUCGAAUUGAGCCGCAUGAUCCACCGCUUGUGCAAGUCCCCGUCUAUUCCUUUGAGUUUUAAUCUUGCGAUCGUACUACCCAGGCGCCGAACUUAACGCGUUAGCUUCGCCACAAAGAGGGUCGAUACUCCUUAUAGCCAGUUCGGAUCGUUUAGGGCGUGGACUAC
This 361-nucleotide unclassified non-coding RNA is filed under the name uncultured bacterium. RNAcentral describes it as "contains 16S-23S intergenic spacer region". The record is from RNAcentral.